GAUGAAGAACGUAGCGAAAUGCGAUACUUGGUGUGAAUUGCAGAAUCCCGUGAACCAUCGAGUCUUUGAACGCAAGUUGCGCCCGAAGCCAUUAGGCCGAGGGCACGCCUGCCUGGGCGUCACACGUCGUUGCCCCCCCAUCUACUCCUUCGGGAUUGCGGGGGGCGGAUGAUGGCCUCCCGUGCGCCUCGUCGCGCGGUUGGCAUAAAUGCCAAGUCCUCGGCGGCACACGCCACGACAAUCGGUGGUUGCGAAACCUCGGUUGCCCGUCGUGUGCGGUCGUCGCGCAUCGAGGGCUCGAAAAAAUUGCCGGGCUCCGGCUCGGCUUUCAACGCGACCCCAGGUCAGGCGGGGUUACCCGCUGAAUUUAAGCAUAUCAAUAAGCGGAGGA
This 391-nucleotide unclassified non-coding RNA is filed under the name soil metagenome. Its description in RNAcentral is "partial contains 5.8S ribosomal RNA, internal transcribed spacer 2, and large subunit ribosomal RNA". The stretch from base 1 to 122 matches the Rfam family "5.8S ribosomal RNA", at positions 35 to 154 of the family's 154-position model. The record is from RNAcentral.